AGCGAACGCUGGCGGCAGGCUUAAUACAUGCAAGUCGAGCGGGCACUUUCGGGUGUCAGCGGCGGACGGGUGAGUAACGCGUGGGAACGUGCCCUCUGGUUCGGAAUAACUCAGGGAAACUUGAGCUAAUACCGGAUACGCCCUUUUGGGGAAAGGCUUGCUGCCGGAGGAUCGGCCCGCGUCUGAUUAGCUAGUUGGUGAGGUAACGGCUCACCAAGGCGACGAUCAGUAGCUGGUCUGAGAGGAUGAUCAGCCACACUGGGACUGAGACACGGCCCAGACUCCUACGGGAGGCAGCAGUGGGGAAUAUUGGACAAUGGGCGCAAGCCUGAUCCAGCCAUGCCGCGUGAGUGAUGAAGGCCUUAGGGUUGUAAAGCUCUUUUAUCCGGGACGAUAAUGACGGUACCGGAGGAAUAAGCCCCGGCUAACUUCGUG
Molecule: ribosomal RNA, 435 nt
Filed under: uncultured bacterium
Lineage: Bacteria
Description: partial 16S ribosomal RNA
Rfam family: Bacterial small subunit ribosomal RNA
Source: RNAcentral